GCAGAAGAAACGUGGGCGUAAUACUGGUCAUGGGCAACACAAUGCAACAAGUAAAGGAAGAAAGACAAAGAAAUGGGAAAAAUAGUGAUCAAGCAUGAAGUGAAUGACACCGUGUCACUCUUUACCAGUGGAAAGCUCUUGCUGUGUGCACUGGACCUGAAGAGUCUUGCUUUCACAUUCCCUCAGAACCACAACCUAAUUUCUCAAGGUGUGCAAGGAAGGGGUAAAGUGAUUUACUGAAUUAUUAUAUAAUCAGCAACGAUCCCAUUAAAGAAUUCAGCUGAUAUGAUGUUGGGUAAGAAUUGCAUCUGACAAACAUCAUGAAGACACAAAUAAAUGAAAAUAACAAGGAAGGUUAUAAAGGUGAAAUGUGAGAGUUGAUUUGGUGAAACAAAGACAUAGAAGAUUUUUCAACCAAUAGAAGAUUCAGCAACCAAUACCAACGUAACAGAUAUACAGUAGAAUGAUUGGCUUCAAACACCUGAUCUUUGUUUUUAUGAACUAUACAAGCCAUUCUGUUUCCUAGGCUACUAAACUUCAGUUGAAAAUUGAGGUUGAAUAACACAGCUCUGAAAAGUGAGGCUAAUUUCUGCUUCACUAUUUUACAUGAGAAUAAACUUCAUUACCUGGACCUAGGGAUUAGGCAAGGUGCUUGCAUUUUUUGUGAGAAUCUGUGCAGAAUUCAGAAUUCAAAGCAAACUAUUUAAUAUGUUUAGGUUCACUUUAGUUCCACUGGUCUGCUUUAUAAUUACCAAAAGUUCAUUCCCGACAUUGGACAUAUCACCAAAAAAAAA
This is a long non-coding RNA of Onychostruthus taczanowskii (white-rumped snowfinch), 794 nucleotides long. RefSeq lists it as uncharacterized. NCBI's taxonomy places the organism in Eukaryota, Metazoa, Chordata, Aves, Passeriformes, Passeridae. The transcript has 4 exons. The record is from RefSeq and is a predicted model, not a curated record.